GUCUAUGGCCAUGCUACCCUGAACAAGUCUGAUGUCUGAUCUUGGAAGCUAAGCAGUGUUGGGUCUGGUUAGUACUUGGAUGGGAGACCACCUAGGAAGACCAGGCGCCGUAGGCA
Pteropus alecto (black flying fox) is the source of this 116-nucleotide non-coding RNA. The record is from Rfam. Lineage: Eukaryota; Metazoa; Chordata; Mammalia; Chiroptera; Pteropodidae.